AAUAAAGUGCCUGAGUAAAGGGUUAUUUUGAUAGAAUAAAUUAUAUAAUUAAAUAUUAUCUUUAUUA
This 67-nucleotide transfer RNA is filed under the name Athripsodes aterrimus. RNAcentral's name for it is "tRNA-Ile". The record is from RNAcentral. Lineage: Eukaryota; Metazoa; Arthropoda; Insecta; Trichoptera; Leptoceridae.